RNAcentral lists this ribosomal RNA (401 nucleotides) under uncultured Pseudomonas sp. Its description in RNAcentral is "bacterial SSU rRNA". It matches the Rfam family "Bacterial small subunit ribosomal RNA", at positions 984 to 1382 of the family's 1533-position model. The record is from RNAcentral. Lineage: Bacteria; Pseudomonadati; Pseudomonadota; Gammaproteobacteria; Pseudomonadales; Pseudomonadaceae.
ACAUGCAGAGAACUUUCCAGAGAUGGAUUGGUGGCCUUCGGGAACGUCUGACACAGGUGCUGCAUGGCUGUCGUCAGCCCGUGUCGUGAGAUGUUGGGUUAAGUCCCGUAACGAGCGCAACCCUUGUCCUUAGUUACCAGCACGUUAUGGUGGGCACUCUAAGGAGACUGCCGGUGACAAACCGGAGGAAGGUGGGGAUGACGUCAAGUCAUCAUGGCCCUUACGGCCUGGGCUACACACGUGCUACAAUGGUCGGUACAAAGGGUUGCCAAGCCGCGAGGUGGAGCUAAUCCCAUAAAACCGAUCGUAGUCCGGAUCGCAGUCUGCAACUCGACUGCGUGAAGUCGGAAUCGCUAGUAAUCGUGAAUCAGAAUGUCACGGUGAAUACGUUCCCGGGCCUU